UGCGGGGUGGAGCAGUCUGGUAGCUCGCUAGGCUCAUAACCUGGAGGCCGCGUGGUUCGAAUCCCGCCCCCGCUC
Molecule: transfer RNA, 75 nt
Filed under: marine sediment metagenome
Description: tRNA-Met
Rfam family: tRNA
About the family: Transfer RNA (tRNA) molecules are approximately 80 nucleotides in length. Their secondary structure includes four short double-helical elements and three loops (D, anti-codon, and T loops). Further hydrogen bonds mediate the characteristic L-shaped molecular structure. tRNAs have two regions of fundamental functional importance: the anti-codon, which is responsible for specific mRNA codon recognition, and the 3' end, to which the tRNAs corresponding amino acid is attached (by aminoacyl-tRNA synthetases). tRNAs cope with the degeneracy of the genetic code in two manners: having more than one tRNA (with a specific anti-codon) for a particular amino acid; and 'wobble' base-pairing, i.e. permitting non-standard base-pairing at the 3rd anti-codon position.
Source: RNAcentral